RNAcentral lists this unclassified non-coding RNA (253 nucleotides) under uncultured cyanobacterium. Its description in RNAcentral is "contains 16S-23S intergenic spacer region". It matches the Rfam family "Bacterial small subunit ribosomal RNA", at positions 524 to 776 of the family's 1533-position model. Lineage: Bacteria; Bacillati; Cyanobacteriota. The record is from RNAcentral.
UACGGAGGGUGCAAGCGUUAAUCGGAAUUAUUGGGCGUAAAGAGUUCGUAGGCGGUUUAUUAAGUCAGAGGUUAAAGACCGAGGCUCAACCUCGGGAGUGCCUUUGAUACUGGUAGGCUGGAGUACGGCAGAGGAAAGUGGAAUUCCAAGUGUAGCGGUGAAAUGCGUAGAUAUUUGGAGGAACACCAGUGGCGAAAGCGACUUUCUGGGCCGUUACUGACGCUGAGGAACGAAAGCGUGGGGAGCAAACAGG